AGCUAUAAGUUCUCUGUAUCGCAGCUAACGCAAUAAGCACUCCGCCUGGGGAGUACGACCGCAAGGUUGAARCUCAAAGGAAUUGACGGGGGCCCGCACAAGCGKUGGAGCAUGUGGUUUAAUUCGAAGCAACGCGAAGAACCUUACCAGGUCUUGACAUACUCGUGCUAUUCCUAGAGAUAGGAAGUUCCUUCGGGACACGGGAUACAGGUGGUGCAUGGUUGUCGUCAGCUCGUGUCGUGAGAUGUUGGGUUAAGUCCCGCAACGAGCGCAACCCCUAUUGUUAGUUGCCAUCAUUAAGUUGGGCACUCUAACGAGACUGCCGGUGAUAAACCGGAGGAAGGUGGGGAUGACGUCAAAUCAUCAUGCCCCUUAUGACCUGGGCUACACACGUGCUACAAUGGAUGGUACAACGAGUCGCGAGACAGUGAUGUUUAGCUAAUCUCUUAAAACCAUUCUCAGUUCGGAUUGUAGGCUGCAACUCGCCUACAUGAAGUCGGAAUCGCUAGUAAUCGCGGAUCAGCACGCCGCGGUGAAUACGUUCCCGGGCCUUGUACACACCGCCCGUCACACCACGGGAGUUGGGAGUACCCGAAGUAGGUUGCCUAACCGCAA
This 615-nucleotide ribosomal RNA is filed under the name Lactococcus lactis. Its description in RNAcentral is "bacterial SSU rRNA". Lineage: Bacteria; Bacillati; Bacillota; Bacilli; Lactobacillales; Streptococcaceae. The record is from RNAcentral.